UAUACCUGCAAUGACAGAGUUUUAUACUAUGUGUUGAUGCCUUUAAAUUUUUUAUCCUAGAUUUCCUUCACCCACUAAAAAUGCAUAUUUAUUGCUAUCCUUGUCAUCCAGCUGCUUAUCGAAGGUGCAUUGGAGGGGAGGCGUUGAAUAUUCCAAUCAGCUUUUCCUGUGCAGCUCUGUUAGUAUUAUCUAUUGCAAAGACAAACUAAACAGCCCUCAACUCCAGCACCAGUUUCCACUGGUAUUUCAAACCUUGCACUUUUACUUCUUGUGCUGAUUUCACAGUUGGAUAUAUCUCUGAGCUCUGAUUGAGAAUCAGCCUUGUUAGAAGUGAUAACUUUUUCUGCCCCCCCCCCUCUCGUUUCUCUUCUAUUUUUCAAUUAGUGGCGCUAUGGUCGAUUUCAUGUCAAGAUUUCUGUAAAUUGUGGUUAAGAUCAGAAUAAACAGACGGUGGCGUGGUCCAUUCACCCCAUUAUUGAGAUGUGUGUACAGGUACAAGCAUGCAACCAAAUUAGGGGCUUCUUGCUUAACAGCCUUUAUGUCAAGGGGCCACAGUCUAGUUGAGUUUUGUCACUGCGUUUCCAGUCACCGAUUUUCGGCUUUUUCUACGUCUCUCAAAUUGGACAUUCAUGUGGAAGUGCUAGGGGACAGUCACAUCAUGUGUAUCCAGAUCUCAAUUAAGGCACAUGAAGGGUAGAUAGAAAGAUUGGCUCUUUAAUUGGAUUAUUGACUUUCUUGGACAUGAAGAUUAGCUUCUAACUAAGGUAGGUUUUAAAUGUACUUACAAAAAUUUAGUACAUGCUUCUGGCUUAGAAUGUCAUGACAUUUGGAAUUUGAGUUUUCAAUUAGAAUGUGUUAUUUGAUGCUGUCUGCUUGUCACCAGUGAUCCCAUGUGGGAAAAUGGGGAGUUAUUUAAAGUAUAUGGUUUUUUAUGGUAAUUUGUGGAAUUCUCUAAGUCAUAAUUGUCUUACAAGUUGGAGAUUUUGAGAUUGUUCAUGGAAUAAAUUCAUUCCAAACAACCCCUUAUUAUAUCCUGGUUUAAAAAGGUGGUAGAAGGGAUUUGAAAAUUCAGUUGAAAU
Molecule: long non-coding RNA, 1079 nt
Filed under: Salvia miltiorrhiza (redroot sage)
Lineage: Eukaryota; Viridiplantae; Streptophyta; Magnoliopsida; Lamiales; Lamiaceae
Description: long non-coding RNA (SMIL_LNC007091)
Source: RNAcentral